GUUUUCAAUGUCCCAGUGACAAUAAUUAAAGCGUCCCCCGGACUCUGAAGACUUAAACUUAAGGGCACUGAUAAUUUUAUUUUAUAAAGAAGGGAGAUUCUGCCCUACAAUUUUAACCACAACCACUGGAAAGAUGUAAAGGUAUUAUUUAACUCAAAAUCACGAUUCGAAUACUAAUCGACUAUACACGUGUAACCAUUGUUCCUUUUUAACUUGUAUUGCAUUUACCAAAAAUAAUAUAGGAAUAACGUCAACAUUUGUAGAAAAAACAGAUAAACCACCAGUACCUAUAUCUACUGCGAUGAGUCUUAGUCAGAACGAGCACAUAACAAUCGUGAGAAAUUUAUUUGGAAUUAUUUAUAAGCGCUGAAAACGAUUUUUGUCAAAUUGAAAUAAUAUAAUAUUUAGAGCUCGUAACCAAAUCUUUAAUAAAUGCAAUCAAAUAACAUAAUUUUGUUUUGUCGAAUUCUUCCCUAAAAUAGAGAUUACUGCAUUGUGUUUUGUUAAUCAUUUAUAGGAGCCGCAGGAACUUAUUUAGAUUUUUCUUUAAGGAGAGCGGUAGUCAGGAUUAAGGUAAAUAUCUACACUGCUACGACAAAAUAAAUGGUACAGCAAUAAUAUCUUCGUCAACUGUAACAAUAUUUGUUCAAUGUUUUAUACGAGAAAAUUGUAAUCAUUAGAUAUGUAUUUCAUAGUAGACAUUUUUUUAUUAAAUGUACACCUACACUUAAUAAAUCCAGAUUUAUAAG
This is a non-coding RNA of Cinara cedri, 749 nucleotides long. The record is from the annotation of a GenBank genome assembly. NCBI's taxonomy places the organism in Eukaryota, Metazoa, Arthropoda, Insecta, Hemiptera, Aphididae.